Molecule: long non-coding RNA, 1459 nt
Filed under: Homo sapiens (human)
Lineage: Eukaryota; Metazoa; Chordata; Mammalia; Primates; Hominidae
Description: HSALNT0252213
Source: RNAcentral
AUGGAAGACACUGCUGCUUCCCCUUCCACCACGAUUGUAAGUUUCCUGAGUUCUCUUCAGCCAUACAGAACUUGCACUGGCCAGAACCUCCCCUUCAAUGUUGAAGAGAAGUGAUGAUGGUGGUCACCCUUUUUUCCCUCCUGAUUUCAGGGAAAAGAUCAAGAUCUGUUCAUGAUUCCGACAAACAGCUACCUGCUGGCCUUCUUGGGCCCAGAGGUGCACACACCGGCAGUGCAGCAAGACCCACUCGGGAGUCGGACACAAGGAGAAGGCCCUCGCAGGCCCUAGAAGCGUGCUGGAGGCCAUUUCGGCAAGACUGUGGACUAAGCGAGUGCUUGGCAAAAGCCACUGGCCUGUGGGCUCCUUGCUCUGUGAGGAGGGGGCGGGCUGAGGGGGACCAGGCCAGGCUCUCAAACAAAGAGCCUAUCAGGCACAGUGACUUUGGGUCUAUAGGUCACACUGCACAGCUCGCUCGCUCUCUCUGUCUCUCUCUCUCUCUCUCUCCACCCCUCCUCCUCCUUCCCCCUUCUUCCUUCCUCUUUAUCUAAACUUUCACUGGGAUAAUUGUAGAUUCACAUGCAGUUGCAAGAAAUAAUACAAAACCUGGCCCUGGUGGCUGGAGGUCUGCACACAAUGGCCCCUCGUGGAGUAAGGCAAGAAAGGUGGGAGUCGGGGGGCAGGCUGCAGAUGGGACAGGGAAUUCUCAGUUGGAACCUGCUCUCUGUGUCAGGAUGAAGUUGUAUUUAGCAAGGACAUGCUAUUUAAUGGUUUGUUAGCUUGAGGAAUAACUUUUAAAUAUUUAUACAGAUGGUAUGUGGGCAUCCCUUUGUACUUCUGCCCCACGUCCCUGCAAAGGUUAGGGUAAGCUUGGGGCUGGCAGUGCUUGUUUUCAUCAGUGAAUUAUCCCUAGAGAAAGUCUGAAGGUUCUGGAACCUAACCACAAUAGCCCAUUAGGUCCCUGCAAAGGUGUUAUCCCUCCCUUGCAGAGCUUCUUAAGAGUCGGCAGCCAAAGAAAGAAGUGCUCCAGGAGUGUUGACGGCAGUGUGUGGAAGACUGAGGCUUAGGGAAAGGUUUUCGUGGUAGUACUGAAAUGAGGAACUCUUGUUCCCUUGGGAUAAAUCAUCUGUACUCAGUAAACUGAUCUAUUUCUCUGCUCUGGUGUUUUCUUCUUUUGUGAUUUCCCUUAGCAUCCUAGUAAAAUUUCAUACAAAAAGCUCCUGUAUGUCUUGGCUGACCUGGGAGGCUAAGGGGAAUGUAGGUUUGUGGGCUUGGCCAGCUGGGGAGUCCAGAGCCCAGGGACUCAGGACAGAGCCAAAAGAACCAUGGCAGGUGGAGCCACAGGGAUAUUUUGUAACCUCUGCUACCUAGCCCUUAUACAAGGUCGAUGAAGGACCCAGCAGCUUCAGGAAGGCAGAAACUGUAUCUGUCACCACUCUAGUGCCCAGGACAUGUGUGUGAC